Molecule: ribosomal RNA, 217 nt
Filed under: Salmonella enterica subsp. enterica serovar Heidelberg
Lineage: Bacteria; Pseudomonadati; Pseudomonadota; Gammaproteobacteria; Enterobacterales; Enterobacteriaceae
Description: partial 23S ribosomal RNA
Rfam family: Bacterial large subunit ribosomal RNA
Source: RNAcentral
AUGCCAAUGGCACUGUCCGGUAGCUAAAUGCGGAAGAGAUAAGUGCUGACAGCAUCUAAGCACGAAACUUGCCCCGAGAUGAGUUCUCCCUGAGACUUCAAGUCUCCUGAAGGAACGAAGAAGACGACGACGUUGAUAGGCCGGGUGUGUAAGCGCAGCGAUGCGUUGAGCUAACCGGUACUAAUGAACCGUGAGGCUUAACCUUACAACGCCGAAG